GACGAACGCUGGCGGCGUGCUUAACACAUGCAAGUCGAACGGAAAGGCCCUGCUUUUGUGGGGUGCUCGAGUGGCGAACGGGUGUGUAACACGUGAGUAACCUGCCCUUGACUUUGGGAUAACUUUAGGAAACUGGGGCUAAUACCGGAUAGGAGCUCCUGCUCCAUGGUGGGGGUUGGAGAGUUUCGGCGGUUGGGGAUGGACUCGAGGCUUAUCAGCUUGUUGGUGGGGUAGGGGCUUACCAAGGCUUUGACGGGUAGCCGGCAUGAGAGGUGGACCGGCGACCUGGGGACUGAGAGACGGACCAGAAUCGUACGGGACGCAGAAGUGGGGAACAUUGCACAAUGGGGGGAAGCCUGAUACAGCAACGCCGCGUGCGGGAUGACGGCCUUCGGGUGAAAAACCGCUGUGGCCGGAGACGAAGCGGGAGUGACGGUAAUGGGUAAAGAAGCACCGGCUAACUACGUG
RNAcentral lists this ribosomal RNA (468 nucleotides) under uncultured bacterium. Its description in RNAcentral is "partial 16S ribosomal RNA". It matches the Rfam family "Bacterial small subunit ribosomal RNA", at positions 28 to 507 of the family's 1533-position model. The record is from RNAcentral.